This 496-nucleotide ribosomal RNA is filed under the name uncultured bacterium. Its description in RNAcentral is "partial 16S ribosomal RNA". It matches the Rfam family "Bacterial small subunit ribosomal RNA", at positions 29 to 507 of the family's 1533-position model. The record is from RNAcentral.
AUGAACGCUGGCGGCGUGCCUAAUACAUGCAAGUCGAGCGAACAGACGAGGAGCUUGCUCCUCUGACGUUAGCGGCGGACGGGUGAGUAACACGUGGAUAACCUACCUAUAAGACUGGGAUAACUUCGGGAAACCGGAGCUAAUACCGGAUAAUAUAUUGAACCGCAUGGUUCAAUAGUGAAAGACGGUUUUGCUGUCACUUAUAGAUGGAUCCGCGCCGCAUUAGCUAGUUGGUAAGGUAACGGCUUACCAAGGCAACGAUGCGUAGCCGACCUGAGAGGGUGAUCGGCCACACUGGAACUGAGACACGGUCCAGACGCCUACGGGAGGCAGCAGUAGGGAAUCUUCCGCAAUGGGCGAAAGCCUGACGGAGCAACGCCGCGUGAGUGAUGAAGGUCUUCGGAGCGUAAAACUCUGUUAUUAGGGAAGAACAAAUGUGUAAGUAACUAUGCACGUCUUGACGGUACCUAAUCAGAAAGCCACGGCUAACUACGUG